GCCGUGGAUCAGGAUCGUUGGUUGUGGAG
RNAcentral lists this non-coding RNA (29 nucleotides) under Homo sapiens (human). The record is from RNAcentral. Lineage: Eukaryota; Metazoa; Chordata; Mammalia; Primates; Hominidae.